ACGUAGGGGGCGAGCGUUGUCCGGAUUUACUGGGCGUAAAGAGCGCGUAGGCGGCUCGUUAAGUGUGAAGUGAAAUCUCCAGGGCUCAACCCGGAAACUGCUUCGCAUACUGACGAACUUGAGGAAUGCAGAGGUAAGUAGAAUUCCUGGUGUAGCGGUGAAAUGCGUAGAUAUCAGGAGGAAUACCGACGGCGAAGGCAGCUUACUGGGCAUUAUCUGACGCUGAGGCGCGAAAGCGUGGGUAGCAAACAGGA
RNAcentral lists this ribosomal RNA (254 nucleotides) under uncultured prokaryote. Its description in RNAcentral is "partial 16S ribosomal RNA". It matches the Rfam family "Bacterial small subunit ribosomal RNA", at positions 525 to 777 of the family's 1533-position model. The record is from RNAcentral.